Molecule: ribosomal RNA, 460 nt
Filed under: uncultured bacterium
Lineage: Bacteria
Description: partial 16S ribosomal RNA
Rfam family: Bacterial small subunit ribosomal RNA
Source: RNAcentral
CCUACGGGUGGCAGCAGUGAGGAAUAUUGGUCAAUGGACGCAAGUCUGAACCAGCCAUGCCGCGUGCAGGAAGACGGCUCUAUGAAUUGUAAACUGCUUUUGUACGAGAGGAAACACAGGUACGUGUCUCUGUCUGAAAGGAUCGUCCGAAUAAGGAUCGGCUAACUCCGUUCCAGCAGCCGCGGUAAUACGGAGGAUUCAAGCGUUAUCCGGAUUUAUUGGGUUUAAAGGGUGCGUAGGCGGUCGGAUAAGUUAGAGGUCAAAUCCCGAGGCUCAACCUAGGAAUUGCCUUUGAUACUGUUAGGCUAGAGAGUAGUUGAGGUAGGCGGAAUGUAUGGUGUAGCGGUGAAAUGCUUAGAGAUCAUACAGAACACCGAUUGCGAAGGCAGCGUACCAAGCUACUUCUGACGUUGAGGCACGAAAGCGUGGGGAGCAAACAGGAUUAGAUACCCGAGUAGUC